GUGACUGCAUGGUGCCUGGCCCUGGCACAGCUGGUGACUUCCCUUGUAGAGUGUUUGCGUAGUGGAGUGGCUGUGGCUCACCACCCCCUUUCCCAAGUGCUUUAAUGAAGACACCUCCCUUGUGUUUCAACCAAUCAGAAACUACUUUAACUAAAUGUACUAACCUUUUUCCCUCCUAAUUUGCUUUGAAAAAGUUUAGUAAUUCAAUUAAGCGUGAUUCUAUCUUAGAAGAAAUAAACUCAGUAUUAAUUCAUGUCUAAAUCACUGGGGUUGAGACUCCUUCAGCCUCCCUGGUUGAUUAGAGAUUCUGAGAAGCAGUAGAGCUGGCUGGGAGGUGGGCUACAGAGGAGCAAGCAAGCACUUCAGACUGACCAAAGGUUGUGGUGGCCCACAUGGCUCUGCCCAGUGUCCUGUGCUUUGCCACAGUCCUCUGGGGUCAGUGUCUCGGGCAGUGGGAUGGAACUGUGUGAUUGCUCUUAGGUGAGUUCCGAGUCUUAAUCUAUGCAUUCAGAGAAAUAUUUUUAUAUGCGUUGUGUAAUUUAUAACAAGGGGUUUUCUUUUAGGCUUUGUUAACUGAAUGCUCCUCUCCUCCUCCACUGCAUAGUUAAAGCAUGUGUUCACACUGUGUAAACAUUCACAGAAGACUUUUCCUCGUGUGUUGUUGACUCUUUAAACAUAACAGGUAUUAUUAAAAUUAACUGUUAACUGACCCAGCC
This 716-nucleotide long non-coding RNA is filed under the name Mus musculus (house mouse). Its description in RNAcentral is "long non-coding RNA chr11:94341131-94341847". The record is from RNAcentral. Lineage: Eukaryota; Metazoa; Chordata; Mammalia; Rodentia; Muridae.